GUGCUCGCUUCGGCAGCGCAUGUACUAAAAUUGGAACGAUACAGAGAAGAUUAGCAUGGCCCCUGAGCAAGGAUGACACGCAAAAUUUGUGAAGUGUUCCAUAUUUUU
Molecule: small nuclear RNA, 108 nt
Organism: Hippopotamus amphibius kiboko
Lineage: Eukaryota; Metazoa; Chordata; Mammalia; Artiodactyla; Hippopotamidae
Source: RefSeq, a predicted model, not a curated record